UACGUAGGGGGCAAGCGUUGUCCGGAAUCAUUGGGCGUAAAGCGCACGUAGGCGGCAUUGCAAGUCGGAUGUGAAAUCCCUCGGCUUAACCAAGGAAGUGCAUCCGAAACUGCUGUGCUUGAGUACUUAAGAGGAUCGCGGAAUUCCCGGUGUAGAGGUGAAAUUCGUAGAUAUCGGGAGGAACGCCAGUGGCGAAGGCGGCGAUCUGGGAAGAUACUGACGCUGAGGUGCGAAAGCGUGGGGAGCAAACAGG
RNAcentral lists this ribosomal RNA (253 nucleotides) under uncultured bacterium. Its description in RNAcentral is "partial 16S ribosomal RNA". It matches the Rfam family "Bacterial small subunit ribosomal RNA", at positions 524 to 776 of the family's 1533-position model. The record is from RNAcentral.